RNAcentral lists this non-coding RNA (20 nucleotides) under Rattus norvegicus (Norway rat). The record is from RNAcentral. Lineage: Eukaryota; Metazoa; Chordata; Mammalia; Rodentia; Muridae.
CUAGAAGGGCCACAGUGCAC